GAUGAACGCUGGCGGCGUGCUUAACACAUGCAAGUCGAGCGAGUGAGUUCUUCGGAACGAUCUAGCGGCGGACGGGUGAGUAACACGUGGGCAACCUGCCUCAUAGAGGGGAAUAGCCUCCCGAAAGGGAGAUUAAUACCGCAUAAAAUUAUCGAGUGGCAUCACAUGAUAAUCAAAGAAGUAAUCCGCUGUGAGAUGGGCCCGCGGCGCAUUAGCUAGUUGGUGAGGUAACGGCUCACCAAGGCGACGAUGCGUAGCCGACCUGAGAGGGUGAUCGGCCACAUUGGGACUGAGACACGGCCCAGACUCCUACGGGAGGCAGCAGUGGGGAAUAUUGCACAAUGGGGGAAACCCUGAUGCAGCAACGCCGCGUGAGUGAUGAAGGUCUUCGGAUUGUAAAGCUCUGUCUUUGGGGACGAUAAUGACGGUACCCAAGGAGGAAGCCACGGCUAACUACGUGCCAGCCGCCGCGGUAA
Molecule: ribosomal RNA, 476 nt
Filed under: uncultured bacterium
Lineage: Bacteria
Description: partial 16S ribosomal RNA
Rfam family: Bacterial small subunit ribosomal RNA
Source: RNAcentral